This 300-nucleotide unclassified non-coding RNA is filed under the name uncultured Cyphellophoraceae. Its description in RNAcentral is "sequence contains 5.8S rRNA gene, ITS2". The stretch from base 1 to 71 matches the Rfam family "5.8S ribosomal RNA", at positions 84 to 154 of the family's 154-position model. Lineage: Eukaryota; Fungi; Ascomycota; Eurotiomycetes; Chaetothyriales; Cyphellophoraceae. The record is from RNAcentral.
GUGAGUCAUCGAAUCUUUGAACGCACAUUGCGCCCUCUGGUAUUCCGGAGGGCAUGCCUGUUCGAGCGUCAUUAUCACCCCUCAAGCUCGGCUUGUUGUUGGACGUUUGGUGAGACUUUUAACUAAGUCUUGUCCGUCUCAAAGAUAAUGACGGCGUCGGCGAGGACUCCGGUACACUGAGCUUUCGGGCACGUACUCGGUAUAAGGACUCGCGGACCCGGUCUAUUCGUACGCACCUUUAACUAGGUGCGUGCAACCCCCUUCUCAAGGUUGACCUCGGAUCAGGUAGGAAUACCCGCU